GACGAACGCUGGCGGCGUGCCUAAUACAUACAAGUAGAACGCACAGUUUAUACCGUAGCUUGCUCCACCAUAAACUGUGAGUUGCGAACGGGUGAGUAACGCGUAGGUAACCUGCCUGGUAGCGGGGGAUAACUAUUGGAAACGAUAGCUAAUACCGCAUAAUAUUGAUUAUUGCAUGAUAAUUGAUUGAAAGAUGCUAUUGCAUCACUACCAGAUGGACCUGCGUUGUAUUAGCUAGUAGGUGAGGUAACGGCUCACCUAGGCGACGAUACAUAGCCGACCUGAGAGGGUGAUCGGCCACACUGGGACUGAGACACGGCCCAGACUCCUACGGGAGGCAGCAGUAGGGAAUCUUCGGCAAUGGACGAAAGUCUGACCGAGCAACGCCGCGUGAGUGAAGAAGGUUGUCGGAUCGUAAAGCUCUGUUGUAAGAGAAGAACGGGUGUGAGAGUGGAAAGUUCACACUGUGACGGUAUCUUACCAGAAAGGGACGGCUAACUACGUG
This 505-nucleotide ribosomal RNA is filed under the name uncultured bacterium. Its description in RNAcentral is "partial 16S ribosomal RNA". It matches the Rfam family "Bacterial small subunit ribosomal RNA", at positions 28 to 507 of the family's 1533-position model. The record is from RNAcentral.